AUGGAUCUAGACCUGGGCAUCUACAUCAAAUACCGACUGGAUGGCUCACUAUUCGACCUUCGCCGCCUGACUGCAAAAACAAAGACAACAGAGAGACUCAUCCUGGAAGCUCUCUUUGCAGAUGACUGUGCUCUCAUGGCCCACCAAGAAAAUCAUCUCCAAACCAUUGUGGACAGGUUCUCCACCGCAACAGAACUGUUUGGCCUGACUAUCAGCCUCAGCAAAAUAGAGGUGCUGUUCCAACCUGCACCAGGGAGGCCAACGAACCAGCCGUUCAUUACAAUCGACAGCACUCAGCCUUCUAACAUCAACACUUUCAAGUACCUGGGCAGCACCAUUGCCAACGACGGGUCCCUAGACCACGAGGUUAAUGCCAGGAUCCAAAAGGCCAGCCAGGCACUCGGGCGGCUGCGCUGCAAAGUCCUCCAACACAGCGGUGUAAGCACUGCGGCGAAGCUCAAGGUGUACAACGCAGUGGUCCUCAGCUCGCUCCUGUACGACUGUGAGACAUGGACACUGUACCAGAAGCACAUGAAACAGUUGGAGCAAUUCCACCAACGCUCCCUCCGGUCAAUCAUGAGGAUCCGAUGGCAGGACCGAAUCACCAACCAGGAAGUCCUCGACAGAGCCAACUCCACCAGCAUCGAAGUCCUGGUCCUCCAAACCCAGCUACGAUGGUCUGGACACGUCAUCCGCAUGGACCCACAGCGAAUACCAAGACAGGUAUUCUACGGUGAACUGUCAGCUGGACUCAGGAAACAAGGCCAACCAAAGAAAAGAUUCAAGGAUCAGCUAAAGUCCAACUUGAAGUGGGCUGGCAUGACACCAAAGCAGCUAGAACUCGCUGCCUCUGACAGAAGCAGCUGGCGAACCCACAUUAACAAUGCCGCCACCACCUUUGAAGAUGAGCGACGUCGACGUCUUGCCGCUGCGCGUGAACGCCGACACCAGGCCACAACCGCACCUCCCAUAACAACUGGCGUCCCAGGCCCCAUGUGCCACACACUGUGCGCCUCAGCCUUUGGACUCCAAAGGCACAUGAGGGUACAUCAAUAG
This 1056-nucleotide long non-coding RNA is filed under the name Monodelphis domestica (gray short-tailed opossum). RNAcentral describes it as "lncRNA (ENSMODG00000042281.1)". The record is from RNAcentral. Lineage: Eukaryota; Metazoa; Chordata; Mammalia; Didelphimorphia; Didelphidae.